GACGAACGCUGGCGGCGUGCUUAACACAUGCAAGUCGAACGGAAAGGCCCUGCUUUUGUGGGGUGCUCGAGUGGCGAACGGGUGAGUAACACGUGAGUAACCUGCCCUUGACUUUGGGAUAACUUCAGGAAACUGGGGCUAAUACCGGAUAGGAGCUCCUGCUGCAUGGUGGGGGUUGGAAAGUUUCGGCGGUUGGGGAUGGACUCGCGGCUUAUCAGCUUGUUGGUGGGGUGGUGGCUUACCAAGGCUUUGACGGGUAGCCGGCCUGAGAGGGUGACCGGCCACAUUGGGACUGAGAUACGGCCCAGACUCCUACGGGAGGCAGCAGUGGGGAGUAUUGCACAAUGGGCGGAAGCCUGAUGCAGCAACGCCGCGUGCGGGAUGACGGCCUUCGGGUUGUAAACCGCUUUCGCCUGUGACGAAGCGUGAGUGACGGUAAUGGGUAAAGAAGCACCGGCUAACUACGUG
Molecule: ribosomal RNA, 468 nt
Filed under: uncultured bacterium
Lineage: Bacteria
Description: partial 16S ribosomal RNA
Rfam family: Bacterial small subunit ribosomal RNA
Source: RNAcentral